Molecule: long non-coding RNA, 2866 nt
Filed under: Homo sapiens (human)
Lineage: Eukaryota; Metazoa; Chordata; Mammalia; Primates; Hominidae
Description: non-protein coding lnc-ZNF101-1:2
Source: RNAcentral
AUAAGCGCCCUCCUUCCCCUUGAGAGAGGGCAGCGCUGGCUCCGCUCCAGCCAGAGGCCCCCAUCCCUCACAUCUCGCGCGGUGCACGCCUCCUUCAGCCCCACUCGCAUCUCCUCAGAGUUCCUGCUCCUCCUCAGGGCCCCCUUCUCCUCAAAGCCCUCGGUCCUCAGAGACCCUCACUCCCCAGAGCACCCCAACUCUUCCUCCAAGCCACCCCCUCCUCCUCAGAACCCCACACCUCUUAUAGCUUGAUCGACAGCCCCCAUUCAUUUCCAGAAGCCCCAAGCCCCAGACCCCUGCUCAGUCCCCCUAAUGCUCCCUGCAUCCUCAGCCCCAUCAGGUGGGCCACUGGGGCCCCUGGCUCUUCCUCUAGAGCUUUCCACGCCCCGUUCACCUGGCUAAGGCGGGGCGCAGGCGUGCGUGGUUGAUGGCAACGAGGAGAUUACAGUUCUGGGCAUAGAAAAUGCUACCACGUGGUUACCGAAUGAAGGAAGGAUGUUUACUGAGAGACUCCCCUGCAGUGUACCCCAAAUCAGAGCGAAUCCUCACAUCUUUGUUUCUAGUCCUUAGGACACAGCAUCGAAGGCUCCUAGUGCACAAGAAAAGGAACUGGGCGGUGGCUCAUGCCUGUAAUCCUAGCACUUUGGGCGGCAGAGGCGGGAGGAUCACUUGAGCACGGGAGUUUGAGACCAGCUUGGGCAACAUAGUGAGACCCCGUGGUGGUGCACGCCUGUGGUCCCAGCUAUUUGGGACUUGAGAGGCUGAAGUGGGAGGAUCACUUGGGCCUGGGAAUUUGAGGCUGCAGUGAGCCAUGAUUGCACCACUGCACUGCAGCCUGGUUGACGGAGACCAGGUCUCAAAAAAAAAAAAAAAAAAAAAAAGUAAUGGCCUGGACAUGAAUCUCUUCUCCAAAGUCACAGAACCUCCUGGAGCCUAUUUGCUAUGAGGACAGUCUCCAGAUGUGGGCUCAGUAAAAGGUCCUCAGCCUGCUGGCUGGGAGCCCUUCCAGGGUGGGGCCCACGUUCUCUCCAUUGCUGCUGGGGAGGAAAUUCAAACACCAUCUGGUAUGGCUGGAUUGGAGAGCGUCGGGAGACUCCAAAGGGGACGGCAGGGAGUGAAAAAUGAAAGACAUUGACCGAGUGUCUGGACAAUAGGGAAAGCUCUCUGAUGAAGGAAACCGACACUUGGCUCCAAUGACAGAAAGUAAUAGAUUGCAUGGGAGCCACGGAGACCAGUGCCUGUUCAAAAGGUCACCCACAAGCACAGCACUGCCCAGGAGGCCUGAACAGUAGUGGCCUUCAGGCUGGGUGCAGUGGCUGACACCUAUGAUCCCAACACUUUGGGAGUCUGAGGUGGGAGAUUACUUGAGCCCAGGAGUUCAAGACCAGUCUGGGGAACAUAGUGAGACCCCAUCUCUACAAAAAUAAAAAUUAAAAAAAUAGCUAAAUUAGCUGGUCAUGGUCCCAGCUACUUGGGAGGCUGAGGCGGGAGGAUAAGUUGGGCUCAGGAGGUCGAGGCUACAGUGAGCUGUGUUUGUGCCACUGCACUCCAGCCUGGGUGAGAGAGCAAAACCUGCCCCCAACCCCAACAAAGUAGUAUCCUUCAGAGAACUUGGAGGGGUGGGCACUGAAAGCUUCAGGGACCAGCAGAGACAAAAAUUUGAAGCCACUUGGUGGAGACGGGAGAUCGACAAGAGGAAAUGGUCUCGAAGGAGACCCACGGGGUGCAGGUUAAAACCUGGAGGAGCUGAUGUGAACAGCCAGCUCAGAGCGCCUGAGACAGAGUUGCCUUUUUUUUUUUUUUUUUUUUUUAGACAGAAAUCUUACUCUGUUGCCCAGGCUGGAGUGUAGUGGCGUGACCUUGGCUCACUGCAACCUCCACCUCCUGGGUUCAAGCACUUCUCCUGCCUUAGCCUCCUCCUGAGUAGCUUACAGGCACCCACCACCACGCCCGGCUAAUUUUUGCAUUUUUAGUAGAAAUGAGGUUUCACCAUGUUGGCCAGGCUAGUUUCAAACUUCUGACCUCAGGUGAUCUGCCUGCCUCGGCCGCCCAAAGUGCUGGGAUUACAGGUAUGAGCCACCUCACCCGUCCCACUGUUGCCAUUUGGAGGUCAUCAGGGGUCUCUACUGCAUAGAAAUUAGUUGGCAGCCUUGGCACUCAAAGUGCUCGGCCAGGGCCAUUUAAUAUAGAAGGACCUGGGAGUUUUGGGUUCUUUGACAAUGCAUAUUUCAGUGGUUUAAGAAUUUGGCACAGGUGGCUGGGCAUGGCGGCUCACAUCUCUGAGUGACCUGGGUUCAAAUUCUAGCUGUUAUUCAGCAUGGGAUUCAAAAGUAGGGACAUAACCCCACCUCCUCACUGGUGAGGUGGGAGCAGAGAAUGACAUCCUGGCACACACUGUGCCUUGGAGGGGGCCUCCCUGAGCAUCUCAGAGGGGGCUCAUGAUGGAUCUGGCACUCAUGGGUUGGGUGCUGUGGGGUGAGGUAGGGAAAGCCCAGCUGAGCUUGGGACCAACCCUGGGCUUCGUGGGAAUCUGAAGUCCCUUUCCUAGGGGCCUCUCUGGUCCCUCGGGGCCUGUAUGUGCCAUCUCCAAGCUGUGUUUACCAUGGGCCAGAUCACAACCUGUCUGAAUCAGUGUUCUCACAUAAAAAUCAGAAAGACUGAUCCCAGCACUUUGGGAGGCCAAAGCAGGCGGAUCAUGAGGUCAGGAGUUCAAGACCAGCCUGGCCAAUAUGGUGAAAUCCCAUCUCUAUUAAAAUACAAAAAAUUAGCCAGACAUGGUGGUGCAUGCCUGUAGUCCCAGCUACUUGGGAGGCUGAGGCAGAAGAAUCGCUUGAACCUGGAGGGGGCGGAGGUUGCAGUGAGCUGA